This 253-nucleotide ribosomal RNA is filed under the name uncultured bacterium. Its description in RNAcentral is "partial 16S ribosomal RNA". It matches the Rfam family "Bacterial small subunit ribosomal RNA", at positions 524 to 776 of the family's 1533-position model. The record is from RNAcentral.
UACGUAGGGUGCAAGCGUUGUCCGGAAUUAUUGGGCGUAAAGAGCUCGUAGGCGGUCUGUCACGUCGGCUGUGAAAACUCGGGGCUCAACCCCGAGCCUGCAGUCGAUACGGGCAGACUAGAGUCCGGCAGGGGAGACUGGAAUUCCUGGUGUAGCGGUGAAAUGCGCAGAUAUCAGGAGGAACACCGGUGGCGAAGGCGGGUCUCUGGGCCGGAACUGACGCUGAGGAGCGAAAGCGUGGGGAGCGAACAGG